UAGUUUAUCUGGAGCAAAUUUUUAUUUAGUUAUAGUAGAUCUACAAUCGACUACUCAUAAAUUGUAAGUUUGACUAUAUCAAUGAUAUUGAAAAAUAAAAGACAAUUAUUGUGUAAACAAUAAUUUUUUAA
Molecule: non-coding RNA, 131 nt
Organism: Populus trichocarpa (black cottonwood)
Lineage: Eukaryota; Viridiplantae; Streptophyta; Magnoliopsida; Malpighiales; Salicaceae
Source: Rfam